This 28-nucleotide non-coding RNA is filed under the name Rattus norvegicus (Norway rat). Lineage: Eukaryota; Metazoa; Chordata; Mammalia; Rodentia; Muridae. The record is from RNAcentral.
UCGUUCUAUGUGUUGUUUCCUUUCCUCA